Non-coding RNA from Balearica regulorum gibbericeps (East African grey crowned-crane), 1479 nucleotides. The record is from RefSeq and is a predicted model, not a curated record. NCBI's taxonomy places the organism in Eukaryota, Metazoa, Chordata, Aves, Gruiformes, Gruidae.
UUUGAAAGUUACUGCAAUAGUUAAAUUAACAUGAGGAAGGCUUUCUUUUUCUCUCUUAGGUUUUGAUUUGUGAUAGCCUUUGCUGUGUUGCAUUUGCUCAAACUUGCUAUCUGUAUUGGUGGUGAUUUUUUGUUUUUCUUUUCUAUUGCCUUCAAUUAUUCUGGUUUGGUUUUGAUUGGGUUGAUCUUUCUGGCUUCUGACAGGUUUUCUGGGGUCUGGAUAAGAAGCUGGCACAACGCAAGCACUUCCCCUCUGUCAACUGGCUGAUCAGUUACAGUAAAUACACGCGUGCUCUGGAUGAGUACUAUGACAAGCAUUUUACAGAGUUUGUCCCUCUGAGGACAAAGGCCAAAGAGAUCCUGCAGGAGGAAGAGGACCUUGCAGAGAUUGUGCAGCUUGUGGGGAAGGCUUCCUUGGCAGAAACAGAUAAAAUUACCUUGGAGGUUGCCAAGCUGAUAAAAGACGACUUCUUGCAACAGAAUGGUUAUACGCCUUAUGACAGGUUCUGCCCUUUCUAUAAAACAGUGGGAAUGCUUUCUAAUAUGAUUGCAUUUUAUGACAUGGCACGCCGUGCUGUAGAAACCACAGCCCAGAGUGACAAUAAGAUCACGUGGUCCAUCAUCCGAGAGAACAUGAGCGAAAUCCUCUACAGACUUACCUCCAUGAAAUUCAAGGACCCUGUCAAAGAUGGUGAAACAAAAAUCAAGGCGGACUAUGCUCAGCUAUUUGAGGAUAUGCAGAAUGCAUUUCGCAGUCUGGAAGACUAGGCUUGACCUCUGUGACCACUCCAGCUUGUCCUCUCAAUUCCUCAUCUCAACUCCUCUGCUUCCCUACCUUGCAAGAAUGAUGCAACAGUACUUGAGUUGAUAAAUAGCCCCAUGUUUCCCUGUUCAUACUCAGAGAGUGCCCUUACAAAACAUUCCUCUUAGUUUGUGUUUGGCAUUGCUUUGUGUGUCUGAAAUGGUGCGUGAUGUGUGAAUGGGCCUGGCUGAGUGAGGAAAUGCUGUUGUACGCUUCUAGGGUGGGAAAAAUUUCACCUUUCCUCUCCCAGCUCUCUUGGUAACCGGUCUUUCAUCUUGGGAUGUAACCAGUUGAGCUGUACUGGCAGAGGAGGUGUAGAUCUUCAUGCAGUCACGCGGUACGUUCUGAGCUGGCAGUGAUAAGGGCAUUUAGAUCUGGCACUUUGCUAAGUGACUAUCAUGACAUAGAGCUCCCUAUUCUCAAACAUUGUUUUUGACCAUAUCAUAAUGACAUGUUGAUACAAGCAAAAACCCUUCAUUACUGUCCCCUCUGCAACCCUUGGCUGAGUCCCUUGGUAUUGAAAUGGGGUAGUUCUGAAUCUCUCCAAGAAGGGACUAACUCACUAAAAGGUGGGCAUGUACUGGCUAGUAUACUUUUGUGCACUGGAGAAAUAGAAUUUUAUUUUCCUACUUAAUACAGAUAGGACUGUUGGACUUGGCAUCAGCUAAAAUCAAAGCC